UACGUAGGGUGCAAGCGUUGUCCGGAAUUAUUGGGCGUAAAGAGCUCGUAGGCGGUUGGGUAAGUCGGGUGUGAAAACUCAGGGCUCAACUCUGAGACGCCACUCGAUACUGCCCUGACUCGAGUCCGGUAGGGGAGCGUGGAAUUCCCGGUGUAGCGGUGAAAUGCGCAGAUAUCGGGAGGAACACCAGUGGCGAAGGCGGCGCUCUGGGCCGGAACUGACGCUGAGGAGCGAAAGCGUGGGUAGCAAACAGG
RNAcentral lists this ribosomal RNA (254 nucleotides) under uncultured bacterium. Its description in RNAcentral is "partial 16S ribosomal RNA". It matches the Rfam family "Bacterial small subunit ribosomal RNA", at positions 524 to 776 of the family's 1533-position model. The record is from RNAcentral.